AUGAAGAAAUUCAAAUCUAAGAGCACAAUGUUUAACAUUACAUGUUGGAGCAAAGCCCAGCUAUGCUAUAUGAAUCGUGAAAUUAUCUUUCUCCUUUCUACUUUGGGAAUAAGAGAUGAGAUAUUUCUGUUGAUGCAACAAGAUGCCAUGCAUGAAUUAGCUGAAAUGUUGACGACCAGACAAGCUGCUCUCUCUAUUAUGGGGAAAAUUGUUAGUGCCGAAAUGAAGACAACAUCCAAAAUGUUAUUGCGAGGUUAUGAACCAAGUUUAGAGCCUUACCUGUUGAUGAUUCAUAAGGCCCAUCAAGAUAAUAUCUAA
This 318-nucleotide ribosomal RNA is filed under the name Triticum aestivum (bread wheat). RNAcentral describes it as "partial small subunit ribosomal RNA". The record is from RNAcentral. Lineage: Eukaryota; Viridiplantae; Streptophyta; Magnoliopsida; Poales; Poaceae.